AUGAACGCUGGCGGCGUGCCUAAUACAUGCAAGUCGAGCGAACAGAUGAGGAGCUUGCUCCUCUGACGUUAGCGGCGGACGGGUGAGUAACCCGUGGAUAACCUACCUAUAAGUCUGGGAUAACUUCGGGAAACCGGAGCUAAUACCGGAUAAUAUAUUUAACCGCAUGGUUCAAUAGUGAAAGACGGUUUUGCUGUCACUUAUAGAUGGAUCCGCGCCGCAUUAGCUAGUUGGUAAGGUAACGGCUUACCAAGGCAACGAUGCGUAGCCGACCUGAGAGGGUGAUCGGCCACACUGGAACUGAGACACGGUCCAGACUCCUACGGGAGGCAGCAGUAGGGAAUCUUCCGCAAUGGGCGAAAGCCUGACGGAGCAACGCCGCGUGAGUGAUGAAGGUCUUCGGAUCGUAAAACUCUGUUAUUAGGGAAGAACAAAUGUGUAAGUAACUAUGCACGUCUUGACGGUACCUAAUCAGAAAGCCACGGCUAACUACGUG
This 496-nucleotide ribosomal RNA is filed under the name uncultured bacterium. RNAcentral describes it as "partial 16S ribosomal RNA". It matches the Rfam family "Bacterial small subunit ribosomal RNA", at positions 29 to 507 of the family's 1533-position model. The record is from RNAcentral.